CCAAGGGUAUGGCUGUUCGCCAUUUAAAGUGGUACGCGAGCUGGGUUUAGAACGUCGUGAGACAGUUCGGUCCCUAUCUGCCGUGGGCGCUGGAGAAUUGAGGGGGGCUGCUCCUAGUACGAGAGGACCGGAGUGGACGCAUCACUGGUGUUCGGGUUGUCAUGCCAAUGGCACUGCCCGGUAGCUAAAUGCGGAAGAGAUAAGUGCUGAAAGCAUCUAAGCACGAAACUUGCCCCGAGAUGAGUUCUCCCUGAGACUUUAAGUCUCCUGAAGGAACGUUGAAGACGACGACGUUGAUAGGCCGGGUGUGUAAGCGCAGCGAUGCGUUGAGCUAACCGGUACUAAUGAACCGUGAGGCUUAACCUUACAACGCCGAAG
Molecule: ribosomal RNA, 378 nt
Filed under: Klebsiella pneumoniae
Lineage: Bacteria; Pseudomonadati; Pseudomonadota; Gammaproteobacteria; Enterobacterales; Enterobacteriaceae
Description: partial 23S ribosomal RNA
Rfam family: Bacterial large subunit ribosomal RNA
Source: RNAcentral